Camelus dromedarius (Arabian camel) is the source of this 128-nucleotide small nucleolar RNA. Lineage: Eukaryota; Metazoa; Chordata; Mammalia; Artiodactyla; Camelidae. The record is from Ensembl.
UGAUUGUUUCAAAGAAGGCUGAUGGGGCUGUGAAACCAGAAGCUCUUAACGCUGUGACCGAAGACUGAACUUCUCCGUAGGAUGCUGCGUCACUCAGCAGUGCUGUGUUUCCCUGAGGAGUUACAAAU